Molecule: non-coding RNA, 1336 nt
Organism: Podarcis muralis (Common wall lizard)
Lineage: Eukaryota; Metazoa; Chordata; Lepidosauria; Squamata; Lacertidae
Source: RefSeq, a predicted model, not a curated record
UGCUUGUCUCGCACUCUCUGCUGCUCCUGCAGGCAGCUUGCAACAGCGAGGUUUUCCCCCCCAUGCGGUGCAUCUGAGAGACAGCUGACAUCCUUGGCGAGAGCUCUGCUUUCUGCAGCAUCCCCCUCCCCGUACAUAAAAAGACACAAGGAGCAGUGGCAGGGCUGACAGAAAGCCAAGGUGCAAAAUGUUGGAGAGAAUGUUCUGAUAUUCAAAGCUGGAAAGGAUUCUGUUCCCCAGGCUUACAUUCUCCAUCCUAGCCACCAGCAAACAGAACUAUUGCUGCAAAACCUCAUGCCACGAAGCACAGUGCUAGUCUGGGGUCUGAGGGAAUUGCAAGGAUUCACAGAGGGGUCGGGGGACAUCUUUUCCUGCAUCAACAGGCAUCACUAUGCCCCAGUGACUCAGCUCUCAACAAGAGAACAAUACUUUUGCAGCACAGCUGGAGAACAAGGCACAUCUCUGAGGGAUUCCUUGUACUCUGCCACCAAGGAGCACCACAUCACAACUUCCUCCUUGCUUCUGACAGACUCUCAUCUGGAAUACAUGGAUCAAUCUUUGGGAAUUAACAACUGAUUAUCAUUCUUUGUGGACCGGAAAGACUUUUCAUUCCCUAGUGAAAAGCAACAAAUUAGCAAAGAGAGAUCUCCUGAAACGCAGUUGCUUCUAAAGUCUAAUUCUAUGUGCACAGUCAAUCCUAUGCAUAUACACCAAAGAUAUUGGGUCAGACAGACUGAGGGGUUGCUUGUUCACACAGUCAGUUUUGUCUCCACGCAAAGGCUCCCUGGGGAUGCAUUCACACACAGCAAAUCUCCCAUACGGACUGGAAUCUCGACUGAUAACACUUGCACUUUUUUAGCGGCAAUUUCUGUAAUCACAGCAACACAAUUUGCAGCCACCGUGAUAACAGGAAUCAUUCCUGAGAAGUAGCAGCUGCCUCCAUUGAAAGCUCGGUUAAUAUGAAACAUUCUCUGCAUGAUGCAUCCCUGGAGUGCAUGGUGGAGAGACAAAAUUGACCGCGUUGACCUGCCUGGAGUCAGUUAUUUCAUAUCAAUACAACAGUUUCCUUUUUAACAUGUCAUGGAAAACACGGAGUUAACAGCAUUGACACUCUCUCUCUCUCUCUCUCUCUCUCUCUCUCUCUCUCUCUCGGUCUCUCUCACACACACAUACACAGCAAUUUUGUAAUACUUUCCAAACUAAUAUUAUCAGACAGACCCUUAUGUCUCUGACCUUCUGUUCUCAAGGCAAUCCAAAACAAAUCUGAUCGCUACAACAAAUAUUUUCAUAUGUUCCUUUUCUGCAGAAUCACAGGGUUUGCAACAUUUUCUUUAAU